Non-coding RNA from Lactuca sativa (garden lettuce), 2830 nucleotides. The record is from RefSeq and is a predicted model, not a curated record. NCBI's taxonomy places the organism in Eukaryota, Viridiplantae, Streptophyta, Magnoliopsida, Asterales, Asteraceae.
GGCUCAAUUUAUGUCUUUAUAUAUUGUCUAUCAAGUUGUUUACAAUUGUUUUUUGUUUUUGUAGAGGGCAACUUUUGCCAUUAUAUGUAUUCUUUUAUGGACACGUGUUAUUUUUAUUUUGCUUCACCGUUUUGUUGCCCAAUCGGCUUUUGAUUUCUGUAUACACACGCGACAUUGAUUUCAUCGAGAGUAGAUAACACUUCCAGUUGCUUCCUCACUUUACCUCAGCCGCUUCUCUUCGGUUUUGCCUCACCGUUUUGUCGACCAAUCAGGUUUCCAACUCCACCGCUUUCACUGUUUAUUCUCGAUUCUUCUUCACCGUACCCUGAUGAUUUCAUCUGCAACAGCCUCACCGUUUUGUCGACCAAUCAGGUUUCCAACUCCACCGCUUUCACUGUUUAUUCUCGAUUCUUCUUCACUGUACCCUGAUGAUUUCGUCUGCAACACACCUCCUCCGUCCUCACCGUCGGUGGCUGCUGCUUUUAUCCCUAAUUUUGGAAGUCGAUUACAAAGAUUCAAGAUGCAUCGUACUCUAUCUUUUCCACCGAAAUUGCAGAAGUGGUUGAUUGUCAUCGGUUAACUCCACCGUUGAUUCUUGGUAGUCAUUUCGUCUUUCUGCUUUGCUUCAUAUGUGAUCUUUUUUUGACUUCAUGGAUUUGACCUACUUGCCAUUACAUGUAUUCUUUUAUGGACACGUGUUAUUUUUAUUUUGCUUCACCGUUUUGUUGCCCAAUCGGAUUUUGAUUUCUGUAUACACACGCGACAUUGAUUUCAUCGAGAGUAGAUAACACUUCCAGUUGCUUCCUCACUUUACCUCAACCGCUUCUCUUCGGUUUUGCCUCACCGUUUUGUCGACCAAUCAGGUUUCCAACUCCACCGCUUUCACUGUUUAUUCUCGAUUCUUCUUCACCAUACCCUGAUGAUUUCAUCUGCAAAAGCCUCACCGUUUUGUCGACCAAUCAGGUUUCCAACUCCACCGCUUUCACUGUUUAUUCUCGAUUCUUCUUCACUGUACCCUGAUGAUUUCGUCCGCAACACACCUCCUCCGUCCUCACCGUCGGUGGCUGCUGCUUUUAUCCCUAAUUUUGGAAGUCGAUUACAAAGAUUCAAGAUGCAUCGUACUCUAUCUUCUCCACCGAAAUUGCAGAAGUGGUUGAUUGUCAUCGGUUAACUCCACCGUUGAUUCUUGGAACUGUGCCGGUGGUGGAGAUUCCCAACAACAGUAUGUAUUCCCAACAACAGUAUCAGCUCUCUCUCUCUCUCGCUCUUCUCUCAAGUGCACCGGUGGAGACGAAGCUGACGAUCGCCCCACCCCCACACUAUCGUCUAGUGAUUGGAUCGUCUCUCUUCCGCCACCAUCAGAAUCUACCACCGCCUCCAUGAUCGAAACUCCACCAAGCUUUGGUAGGAUGAGUCACCUCCAACUUCUUCAGCAUGUCGAUGUUCCUCAAAAGCAUCGAUGUUCUGGAUUUGGGUUAUCGGCGCCUCCACCGUCAUCUCACGUCUCGAUCUUCUCUCAAGUGAUCAUCAAUCACCUGACCCCCACGCCUCCACUCUUCGUCUUCUCUCUUAUGCUACCAUCAUCAGCCGUAUCUUCUUAUGCCGACCAUCAUAGCAUCAUAAUUGCUUCCUUCAUUGUCGCUGACAACGAGACGGCUCUGGGUAAAAGUGAUAGGAGUCCUUCUCCCUCUUUCAGUGGUAGUCGUCGACGACGACCUCUCCUACCACCUCCGCCAUCGUCGUCUACUCACUAUAGAAAUCGAGGCUCCACAAAAAACCCCUAAAAUCUUCUAUUUUGUUCUUCGUUUGAGGCCUAAAGUCGACUGAAACAAAUCACUUUCUCCACCUUAUGAUUACUUGUGAUUUAUUGGCUAAUGCUUCAUAUUUUUUGCGGUUGGGUAGCGAUGGAUGGAGCUCACAGACAAUAUUUAAUUGGUUCAGGGCUUCGGUGCAUGUGUAGAUGUUGUAUCAGCAGCUAUUGAGAGCUUGGAGGUAUGACUACUUUUGCUGGGUACACAUAUGAAUGAUCCAUGCACAACUGCUGGAAGAGGUUCGAAUUUGACAGUAGAUGGUGAUGUUGAAUGUGAUGCAAGUGUUAUAGAUGGUUGCUCUGGAGCAUUUGGUGCUGUUGGAGAAGUAUUAAGAUUGCAACUUUUGUUGGUCAAUGAGCAAAUCUUGGGUUAAUCAUUGUUGGGUCGAAUUCCUCCCAGGUUUUUGGCUGGUGACUGCACAUGUUUGCACAAAUUCCAAGGGCAUUAAUAUUUUUGAAACAAUUGAAAAGGCUAAUGAGGUAAUAUAUUAAAUUAUACUAGGGUUAAGUUAUUAUCACAUUUUUACUUGAUUUAAUACCGAAAUAUUUCUGUGACAACAGUUUUUCUGCUUAAGUGGCCUAUUCUAAAAUGUAAGUUUCAAACUGUUAGUGGUGAAAUAGAACAUAGUGAUGUAAUUUUUGUAUGUUACAUACUCUUUGAAGAUGACAAACAGGAAGCUGUAGGUGUCAUGAACGCUAUCAAGGAAAAAAAAACUAAAAGGGAUGGGACUCAUACAACCUCUUUAAACAUGAUGUACAACCAGUUUUGCAUUACUCUUCCUCUCUGUACAAUACAUUUUAAUAUAUUUUUUUUGUCUUUGUGGGUAUGCCGUUUGGAGGUGGGACAAAUUUGAUGCAAUUGGUCAUGAUAGGGUGGUGGAUUGGGUCGGAAACAAAGAUUAGCUUAUAAAAGCUUUGUAACAUUGAUACUGAUUUUCAGAUUGAACAUAAAUUGACAUGGGUCAGUGAAAAUCUUUCACUAUUGGAAUUCUGCUGCUAAAUGUAUGGUUGGUGUUUUUA